Long non-coding RNA from Leopardus geoffroyi (Geoffroy's cat), 3727 nucleotides. RefSeq lists it as uncharacterized. NCBI's taxonomy places the organism in Eukaryota, Metazoa, Chordata, Mammalia, Carnivora, Felidae. The record is from RefSeq and is a predicted model, not a curated record. The transcript is spliced from 6 exons.
UGUGCCCUCUAUGAAACACAUGUAACCAUCUGCCAGGCCUCCCCAGCUGGUAACCGCUUCAGUCCUGCUCACUGAAUGAAUUGUCCAAUGCCUAUUGAUAUGGACCACCGUUGCUAAUGCUGUUGCCCCAAGAAUUAUAAAGUGAAAUAAAGACAGGUCCUUUAUUUGGAGAUGUAAGCCAGGAGAAGAAAGCCACAGACUGUAUCCCCAUCAUUUCUAUGGAGAGCAAAGGAGUCACUCUGUACAGAAUGACUACCAUAGCUGGCAUCAGACUCACUAAGCAAAGCAGAAGAAUCUUGAGUUUCUUAGAGAAAGUCAAAUCAAAGAGGAACGGGCACAACCUGGUCAACUAAAUCAGAUGCCAUGUCUGAUGUUGUCCUUUCCUUCUGUCCUGAUGUAUCUACUUCUGGGACUUUCCAGACUUAUUUCAGAUUCCUUCUGGGUAGUACCCAACCACAAACAUCAGUCGUAAGUUAGUGGCCUGAUUAUGCAUUUAUUCGUUGGGUAUCAGUGCCAUUAUUCUUUGAAGAGAUACUUCCAUCCUGCCCUUCUUAGGAAGCCCUUUGACACAUUAGCAGGUGGAAAGCUUUGGCGUGAAGCACGCAGAAAAUUCCAGGAAUUGUGCAGCUAUAUAGCAGGCCUAUGAGGCAAACCUCUUCAACACAAACACACACCUUCUACUUGGGCUUGAUGGGGUAGCAUAACUAUUGUGCCAAUUUCUGAUACGUUUCUUCCCCCAAGCCAUAUGAAUGGAGAAAACUAAACUCUGGCAAUGCAGAAGAGCCUUCCACACUCUGCCCAAAGAGACACAGCCUGGUUAAAUACAUUUGAACUCCCUGAGUCCAUCACCAUCACAAGCAGUAUGAUGGCUUUUAAAGGAAGGUCCCUGAACCGGCAGCAGCAUCUCCUCGGGAAAGAUUAACCAGUCAAGGCACACUAAAUCAAACUCUGGGGAUGUGUUUUAACAAACCCUCCAGCGAGUCUGCCGUACAUGUUCGAGAACAAACACUCUUGCCACAUUUAGCCUGUCCGUCUAUGACAAAGGCUAGAUAGCUGUCAAAAACCAGACUAGACUGGGAAGGUUCCCAGGACCAGAUCAUUUGGCAGAGUUGCAGGCUGUGAGGGGUUUGAAGCUAAUGGUGCCAGGUCACCAGCCCAGGACUAGAAAAAAUGCAAAAUGGCAUGUUCAGGGUUCUCUGGAUCUAUGAUAUUGUGUGACAAGUGGCAAGCAAACUUGGCAUUUUCUAAACAGGUGAUGAUGUAACAGAGUCAUAACCUGUUUUCCUGGAUCUCUUGCCAGAUUUCUAGGGCUUCAACAUGUAAAAUGUGAAGUACUGUGGAUUUCAUACCCCUACACUGAGUAGCAUACCUCAUGCUCUCUCUUAUAUGAACUGACAAGCACUGUAACUCUCACAUGCUGCAGAUAUUCAUACAGAGAAAAUUCUUCAUCAUUAGUUCUGGUACUAAAAAUGAGGCUGUACCGAGAAAACAAACAGGGACUUGCAUUUUCUCAACCCAAACAUUUUGCCAGAUGCCAUGUUUUGUGUUAAGAGGAAUUAAUAUGAAAAAUCUUACAAACCUAGGUGCACCUGUUUUAUAUAUUCAAUCAAUGAGGCUUUGUUUUUAUUCCAGAAGAAUGGAAGCUUCUCCUCAUGAGGAUAUUUACAGCACGACAGCUCCAAUGUAAUUUCAAAACACUGGGCCCAGAUGUAGUUGUAAUCUUGCAUUCCACCUAAACACAAGCAUAUUUAAUUUUUUAAGGUCUAAAAUUGGAACAGAGUCAAGUAUCCUGUACCUUGGGGACAAAUGAAUCCGUUGCAAAGAAAGUACAUUUAAACAGGAAAAGAUGAAUUUGACAUAUUAGCAUAUAAAGUCACGGCCUGCCAUUUUAUUACCCAGGCAUGAACAGGCAAUCCUAAAUGUUCCCAUAUGGGUAACUGGAUCAGAGCUAAGGUUCAGCUGUGCAUCAAAAUCAACUGAGGGGCAGGGGAAGGGUCAGCCUUUUUUUUCCCCCCGAUCAUACAUUACAAAAAGGAUUCAUCAAUGUACAUUGCUUCUGUGAAAAUCAUUUUAAACUGAGAGUGAUGCUUCUAAAAAAUGUUUUUGCAAACCAUUCAUAAAUACACAUGUAAGCUAAGUAUACUCAUUCGGUGGAAUAAUAGUGGCUGACAUUUAGUGAGUGUUCACUAUUACCGGGCACCGUUUGAAGAGUUUGUCGCCCGUAUUUUACAGAUGGGGAAACAAUCACAUACGGUAAGUAACGUGCCAGUGAAGGCCGAGCCCAGAGCACAGGCUGUCUUGCGGACCCCGUGCUCUUAUGACACCAAACUGCUUCAGGGGAUGAAAGAAAGGCUGCUGUGCUAACUCUCGGGAGAGAAGGGACCCAGGCCCCCUUGCGUCCAGGGCUGCCGUCACCUGUGCUCAGUUUCUGGUUCUUACCUCUGAAAACCCAGUUUUCAAAAGGGUAUAAUCAUAUUUCCUAUGUUCUAAGAUGCAAGAUUUUCAUAUUUUAAAAUCUCUGAAUUGGAUGUGUCUUAAAUUUGAUGGCUAAAAACCAUCAUUGUGGCAUGAGUUUGGCCAGAAAUAUUUGUUUUUUCUUCCUUGGUGGUACGGUGUAUUUUCCAACCAGUGGCAUCUUGGAUUUUGAAAUAUGGUAACUUUGAAGGAAGGACUUUCGGCCAGAUUUCAACUUGUUGUACUUGAUACCUGCCUAUAAAAUACAUAUUCUCAAUUCCAUCAGGAUAUUUCGGAAGUACUGAAUUAGAAAAAAAACUCAUACUAAGAAAAUAGUCAAGAUACAUCAAAAUAUUACGUAGAUCUAGAUUCUAGCAGGAAGAAUUUCUAUGUCCUUUCUAGAUCCUUUACUCACCUUCUAAGUUUUGUAUUUCUCUCUGAGAUCAUUUUCACCAAGAAAUAGAAAACAGAAAAAAGGACGAGAAUAAUAAAACAGAAGCCCUUGGCUGGACGGCUCUCGGACAGAAAGAAUUUAAAUGGCAAAACAGGUGUACAGAGCACGCAGGGGUGAGGAUGCUUACGUGUGGAGAGUAUGUGCGCCUGUGGAUGAGGCACGCUGGGCCCCGAGGACAAAACCUCCAGGCUGAGCCAGGAUGCUGUGUUCUAAGCUCCUCAACGUAGCUGGCUCUGCCUGCGUUUUCCCUCAGGAGACACAGCCGACACACAGCGACACUCGGAAACAAUUCCCAACGGCGACACCAGGUUCCUAGCUAACCUCCCGCAAGCACACCUGGAUGUGUCCGGAAGUGACGACCGGGAAAGUGGCCUAUCACCCAAGUACGGCCUACGGCCUGCUAGAGGUAGGUCUCAAAUGGGGCCCUCUCCGCUGAGCAACGAGACCCCCUUCCAGCCCCUGGUCUCCCCUGGCUCUUCCGCCCUAGGUCCCUCCGUUCUCUCAGGCCCCUGACUCGUGUGAGUUCUCUUACACCCCUCGGCUUCUUCUCCCAUUCUUCCUUUUGACAAGAAUUAUCCCCCCCUCCUGUGACCCCCACAAGGCAAUCUCCUCCCCUCUCUCACCUGGCCCUCCUGUUCCAAGGACAGAAAAGUGGAAGCAUGCCCUCACUGCCCCCAUACCCGGCUGGAAAAGCACUUUUGUUUAGCGUGCAAAAUGGCUUUAAGAUCAAGAUAUUUCUGGAGAAACGGGAACCCUCUUGCACUGUUGGUGGGAAUGCAAAUUGGUGCAGCCACUCUGGAAAACAGUGUGGAGGUUCCU